UGCGGCUCUCCGAAGCUCCUCUGAGGCGAUGGGCUUGCUUUCUGGGUCCCAGAAGCUUGGUUAGGAGUUGGCACAGGCGCCCCGGCCUCGGCUGACCCCGGCCCCGGCUGACCCCGGCCCCGGCUGACCCCGGCCCCUGAGACGUGGGUGGAUUGCUGGCAGGGAUCCGACGUGCAGAACCUGAGGAAGCAGUUUCCAAGAUAAUUUUAACAGCCUUGACUACUGUUACUAAGUCUCCUCCGUCCCACCAGCAUCAGCGCCACAAACCUGGAACCUCCGUCCCUGCCGCUGCAGCUUGCCCCCAGAGCUCGCUGCCGAGUGCGGGCCACACAGUAUCUGAAUCUAUCCUGCAGAAGCACCAAGGGGCCAUAAAGGCCAUGGUUAUGAGCUCCAGAAGAUAGAGCAGAAAUGAACAACAGAGAGAGGGGUUCUCUGGGGCUCUUCAAUGAAAAUUGAAGCCCACUGGGAAAGUGAAGAAAACCUCUGCAAUAAAGGCACACUGGACCACUGUGAUUGGUAAGUUGGUGGGAUCAGCACCUCCCAUAGAAACCCGGGCUCACUUUGGAGGAAGGACAGCUGGAUCCUGCAGUAGAACCUUGCAGAGUUUAGUCCUGCAAGAGGUCAGGGACCCUGUUUUGGAUUGUUUUUUUCUCUCCUCCCUUCUCUUGACUGUCACUUCUUAUCAGAAGGUGAAUACAGUUUCUAGCUUCCCUGUGGCUCUUAGCUUGUUCUGUUCUUGCUCUUUUUUUUUUUUUUUGGGUACUAGGGAUUGAACUCAGGUCCUUGCGCUUGUGCAGCAGGCGGCGAAACCACUGAGCUAAAUCCCCGGCCCUGUUCUGUUCUUGUCAGUGUUCCUUCACUCUGCCUUUUCCUCCUGUCUUCAACAGUUUUCUACAAUUUGCAUGAUAUUCCUGUCUCCUCUGGCCUCAGUUUUUUUUUUCCUCACUUUUAACCUUUUCCUCUCCUUCUAUCUCUCUAUCCCUCCCACCCCAACCUCUUCUAAAUCCUUAUCUCAGUGGGUAAAUUUGCUAUGUUGAAAGGUUUAUUUACUACAAACAUAUUUUGGGCUGGUUCUUGACUGUGAUCUACCUCAAGCGGUUAAAGGUGACAGACUAAUUGCUACCACAUAUUGUUAUUUUCUAAGCUGUGUUUGAUGCUGUUGUUGUUGCUGAUUGUAGCAACUGGGCUAAGGUGUCAUGAUUGAUCUAAUCAGUUGUCCUCUCUGGUAUACUGAAAACAAGAUUGCCUGAGUCAUUAGAGACUCAAAGCCUAAAAAGACCAGCUAUAACCUGGAAGAUAUCUCUGAGAAGCAGUCACUCCAUAAGGGCUCUAAACACAAGUAAUAAAGAUUCAAUAAGCAGUAUUGAAUUAUCAGCCCAGGAAUUAAACCAAAAAACAGCACCAACAACAAACUUAGAAAUGAGAAGACAUUUACGCCAGGCGCAAACCCAGACUUCCAGCUCACCAAAGGCAAAUUCUGGGGGAAAUGAGGUGGAAAAAAAUCUGAUGAUCAGCCACCUGGACACCCUGAACUGAUAGCACAGGAAGUAAUAAAACAGAUGAAUGAGGCUCUAGAAAAAUUCAAAACAAAUAAUUUCCCAGAUAACUACAGAGAUGGUGAGCAGAAUGAAAGACAUGAUUCUAGAAUAGAAUUCUAGACUCUAGAGCAGAAACAGAUAAAAAAAAAAAAUAGAUGAGCUUAGGCCCAUGAUGGAAGCUAUGAAUGCCCAGCAUGGGAAAGAAAUGGAAACCAUGAAUGCCCAACAUAGGAAAGAAAUGGAAUCCAUGAAACAGAUUCGAACAAAUAUUCAAGAGAUUAAAAACUCAAUUGAAAGUAUUCACAGCAGAUUGAGUGAAUGUGAAGAUAGAAUAUCAGGUAUAGAAGACAGGAUUGCAGUUAGUGACAAUGUUACCAAGUCCCAUAGUCACCCUUCACUUUGGUUGCUAAGGGUGGGGUUUCUAGGGUAGCCAUAAUUAAAACCUCUAUGGGACUACACCCGUCCUUAGCUAAUUUUUUGAGGCCCCUCAAAGACAGUAUCCCUUACAGGAAGUAAGGAAUAAAUGGAAAAUACAGGACUACUUGAGUUUAUAUGUCCUUUCCUCUCAGUGACUUAAGACAGAUUAAACAAACAAGAUCUAAAAAAGUUUUUCAGACAACCCAAAUGAGUACAUUGUGGUUGUUAGAGGACUUGCUCAGACCUAUGAACUAGAUUAGAAUGCUGCAGAGCAGCUCAGUGCUAUAGCCAAGUGCCACAGCUCUGAGGUGCAGCUGAGCUUUACAGCUCAGUGUGGCAGCUCUGGGUCACAGCUCUCAUAAUUUGAAGACUUGAGAAUCCAGUGGGCUAGGGAUUUAGCUCAGUGGUUUCGCUGCCUGCUGUGCGAGCGCAAGGAUCCGAGUUCGAUCCCUGGUACCAAAAAAAAAAAAAAUCUUUCUAGGGGCUGGGAUUUAGCUCAGUGGUGCUGCCACCUGCCUCGCAAGUGCAAGGUCCCAAGUUUGAUCCCCCGUAUCAAAAAAAAAAAAAAAAAAAGAAUCCAAUGGUGAGUAGGAGAGGUGGAGAAAAAAACUUUAUUACACUGUUGAGCUCCCAGCGGGCUCAGGAGUCUGAGCACUUUACCAGAAAUGAGAGCCUCCUUGUAUAGGGAUCUACAAGGUAGGCGAGCAUGCUCAAUGAAGCAGGGGCAGAAUUACAGAAUAUUCCUGAAACACAUGCCGUGUGAGCAUGCUCAGUGAAGCGGGGGGGGCAGAGUUACAGAACCUUCCUGAAAGGUCACACAGUUCAAACAGUCACAAACCAUUUUGACACAUUGGGCCGGAGCCCAGCAGCACAAACUUCAUUUCCAAAACAAAACAUUCUGUGGAAAGAAAUGGAGGCACGGCAAGGGCCUGUCUUAUUCUAUAGGACUUCUCUAUCAAGCCAAGCAGCAUUACAAACUGCUACUGCAUUUAGAGAUAAAUAGUAUCAUAGCAGGCAGGGGAACAGCUGGUUCCUACUAGAGACCAAACAGUCCCUAUACAAAACCUCCACUGGCCUGCCAGCCAGACAGGAGAUUAAGAUAGAAGACACUUUCAGGCAUGUAUUCUUGAAGGUUUAAGAAAGAUGAGAACUUGGCUAGGAAUUUAGCUCAGUGGCCCUGCACCUGCCUCGCGAGUGUAAGGUCUUGAGUUCCAUCCCUGGUACCAAAGGCAGGGGGGAAGAUGAGAACUAAACCCUUCAGUUAUUUCAGAUCACCAUCUGUUUAUCAGGAGAACAGUAAGGACAUCUGUAGCUCCUGAUUUGAGAAAAGGAAAUACUGUAGUUUUUUCCGAAGUCACAAUCUUGCAAUAUGUAGAUGGUACAAUGUCAUGUGCCCCCUCAGAAGAGGUCUCUAGCUAAGGCACCCAUGCUCUGCUGAAUUUUCUAACAGACAGGGAUUAUAAGGUUUCUAGAUCUAAAGAACAAAUUCAUAGCUUUGAGGGAGAAUAUUUGGGCCUUAUGUCUGCGGGAACCUGAAGAAAGAAUUAAACCAAUUCUUUCCCUCCCACAGCCCAAGACUCUGAAACAGCUAAGGGGAUUCCUAGGAAUUACAGGUUUUUGAUGACUUUAGAUAACAGGAUAUAGUGAGAUUUCAUGACCCCUCUAUCAGCUUAUAGUUUUUUUUUGUUGUUGUUUUUUUUUUGUUACCGGGGAUUGAACUCGGGUUCUUGGCGCUUGCACAGCAGGCAGUGAAACCACUGAGCUAAAUCCUCGGCCCCUGCCUCUGUCAGCUUAUAAAGAAACCCAGAAGACAUGUACUCAUAUUUUAACCUGGGAACCUGAUUAACACUUUCACUUCCUCUGUCACUCUCUUUCAAGAGGCUAAAAAUCAGUCUUUCGGGUUCUUUGAUUAUUCGUUUAAAUUUCUGCUUGGCAAUGUGGUUAGAGUAAGCCAUAGUUGUUUCCUCUGGAGACAUGUUUUGCUAAAGAUUAGAGAUUCACUUUGGAAACACACUUGAUUUUAAUUGUCUGCACCUGAGAUGGUUACGGUUUAGUUCUUGUGCCAUACUUAGAGUAACUCUUCUGUCCUUUCUCCACUGCCCUGCCUCUAAAAGACAGUUUUCAGCAGUGUUUGGUUCAAGGCAAUUUCCUCCUCUAUGGCUGCUGGAUUUUGGGACUAAGCUUCCAGAAUGGUGAGUUUCCCUUUCCUGGGACCCUUCCAGAGUAAAGCUGACUUUCAUUUAUCUCUGGGCCAUAUUUAAAAAAAAAAAAGAAAAGAAAAGAAACUGGCUUAGAUUUAAUCCUGAAACUCUCAAAAAAUAAAGUUUUAGUCCAAGUUUAUCUGCCUUUAAGUCCUUAGGCAGAAUUAGAGAUUAACUCGUCUUCCCUCACUCCUCAAAAAUGACACUGAUUGGUUUUUAUAACACAAGACAGACUGAUUUUUAUAACACAUAUAAUAAGUUCAGCGAUAGAAUGAGACAUUCCUGGGGAACUUUAUGAGUUUAACAAUAGCUUUAAACAAAAAACAGUUAUUAAAGAAUAGGCACUGGGCCAGGGAUUUAGCUCAGUGGUUCUGCUGCCUGCCUUGCCAAGUGCAAGGUCUCGAGUUCAAUCCCCUGUACCACCAAAAAAAAAAAAAAAAAAAAAAAAGGGGAUAGGCACAACUCCAGUCCCCAGAGGACUGCCUCUCUUCAUGAUUUCUCGCCAGGACAUCUUGCCAGGCUGGCCACUAUUAUCAGAGAUAUGCUAAUUGAGGCUUUGAAAAAAAGGCCUAUAGCUAAGUAUGGUCCAAGGGUUAGAGGCAAAAUGAGAAAAACUGUCACAGGUAGGCAUCUACAGCAGGACAGAUUAGAACCCUGCUUAAAAUAUAUACUUAGCUCCAGUGGGUGCCACCUAGUCUCUUUCUACAUCCAAACCUGGCUUACACACCCACCCCUAGAAGUAGUUAAAAUUACCUUUCAACAGUCUGCUGCUCUAGAGGAAACAGUUACAUGUGGCUAUCAAGCAGCAUUUCUGGCUUUCAACAGUUGUGACUCUUCAACAGCUAUGGCUAUGAAAGCAACAAUAAAAAGCCUGUAUAGCUAGAUGUUCCAAUCAGAUAAAUCAUCAGCCUAGGGCCCAUCUUAAAAACUGCCUUUGCUUUCACAGGUGUAAAAGGUUUUUUUUUCUUCUAAUUCGUAUUGUAAGAGAUCUCUGUUAAUUGACCUACAAAAGUUCUGGCUAGUCUUAUUUAUACUUACAUAAAACUAUAAAAAGUUUAUUAUAAUUUGACUUGGCC
Molecule: long non-coding RNA, 5232 nt
Filed under: Heterocephalus glaber (naked mole-rat)
Lineage: Eukaryota; Metazoa; Chordata; Mammalia; Rodentia; Bathyergidae
Description: lncRNA (ENSHGLG00100049821.1)
Source: RNAcentral